UUAGUGUGGUAAACGACGCCGGCAGGAGGAACCCAAGCCGUGCACUGAAAAACACGCUUGGCAAGCGAAAGAGGGAAGGGAACAGCGAGCCUUGAACCCUUAGGCCUUCGAUAAGAUCUCUUUAGCCCUUAGGGGACGAGCAGCCGGGGCGUCAGAGCGAGGCAGGAGGGCGCUGGAGGAUGGGGGUAGGCGGGUUCCUUCGCUCUAACGAUGAGGCCGGGGUUCACUUCUAGGUAGGCCGGCAUCAAGGAAGAAAACAACAACUGUCGUUACCUAUAUCUACUACACUAGACGUUGAACGCACAACAACCGUACGGUUGGUUCUCACGAUAUAUGUGUACCCCUAUAUUGGUCUCACCGGUCUGACGUGCGUUCCCGUUCCUCGCGGUGGACUCCUAGGGGUUCUCGGAUGGAGGGUUUGAUAAGUGGACAUCCCUACCGCUCUUGGAGUCUACCUAACUAUAACGUACACCGGCACGCGUGUGACGACGUCAUCAAAGACUGCCUAGUGAGAAGUGGACCCCACGUUUACUGAAACCGGUCAACCCUCUACCCUGUCUCCUCUCACGUUUCCUUGGAUUUUUCCAGUUACGUGACCGCUGACUCAAACACUUUAGCCACAGGACACCACGUGUGACAUGUCGACGAUAACGACUUGGAGCUCUUUUACUACCGAGUUAUAGCUCUUCGUCCAAUACCCAAACCCCUGUUUUAGUCCCGAGUCUAAUGGGAGCGGAUAUGACCCCACGAAAACGUGGUUUGUGCCAUUAAGCCGUCCAAAGAACACCUCGACAAGUACACCACCGGGAUAGCCUACUACCGGACGACGUUCGUACCCCGAUGUUACUCAUACCAGUCGAACCGUCUCCAACAUGAAGACUUCCUAACGUCCCUCGAGCACAUAAUUUACGAAUACGUUCCAAGGAACUACUGUGUGGGCUCGAUCACUUCUAACAAUCUCAUAGUACACCUCUCAUGGUACGUCGUCGAUAUAGUCUUUUGCCCCUCCACAUUCAGUAGAGUUUCCUACGACAAGAGACGACAAUCACCUUCACCACACCAAAGAAGUCAACCGUUUUACCUUCUCGAACUAAAUACUACUCGAUUGGUACUGAUUGUCGACACUUCGUUUGUAACGUGUUACCAAUAGAAAAUCGAAUCACAGUACACUAGAUUAUUCACCGUAGCUAUGCCAGUUUUCGUCAAAACGAUAAUGAAUUUAGUGACGUGAAGAGGUGUAGAAUUUCGUUUUAUUUACACAGUGUAUGAAAUACCGAUCUUCGACGUUUCAUAUUGUAGUACUGAACAGAUAACCAAAUGACUUAAGACACACUUGAUAGAACCUAAAAUAGAACAUGGGGGGGGCAAAGGUUUAUCUAUAUCAAAUUAUUUGGUACGAACCUUACGAAAUCUAAAAAGUAUACUUUUUCCGUUGUCAUGAACAGUAUUUUUUAAUGAGUUUAUAUUAAAGAUAUUGAAGACGACUAUAUAUAACCUUUCUUCAUUACCAUUUUCACGCACGACCUCAUACAAAAUUAAUAUUUACCGUAGUAAACCUCUGUAACGUCAUGUCCAACCUCGUACAAGAAAACUUUCGGAAGUACACUUCAGUCAGACAACAUUGUCGAAGACUAGAAGUCGGAAAGUAGAACAUCCGGGUAAAUAAAGAUCAACAUUUAUGGAAACCAAAAACGUCCAUAUGUACCCCUGAACCUUCGGACCCCGUCGAACCCGUAGCAAGUGAAGUCAGACCUCUAUUCCUCGACUAGGGUUCCGCUCAACAACGGGAACUUCCCUAUCAUUGAUCCCUACACAGAACACCACCCCAAGUGAGAACACGACAUUGCCUUCCACCUCGGGAGAUGCCAACCCCACCUCCUGUACACCCGGUUGACCCCGAACCUGGAGUCUUGCCAAAGAAAAGUACGCGAGAAUUACCUAGGCUGUACGAUGAAGCAUUGUAAGGUCAGGACCAGUAUGGUAGUCCACAGGCCGAACAAUGAACACCAGUGAGCGUGUGUGAACAUAGAUACUUUCUACCUGCAUAUAUACCUACCCCGAUAUUAUCAAUACCAGUCCGUCGAUUACUCUUUAGAUGAAUACGAACCAUGGGAAGAGGCCAACUAACCACACAACCUCUCCACUCUUCUGAACGACGUCCACCGCCCGUAAGUCGACACAAUUGACUACGUAGCAGGAAUUUUCUUGAUACGCUCAAAUUCGAUCGUCUCUGACAUUUAUCCAGCUUGCGAGCCGAUUAUCUUCUACAACGUAGUGCUUGGCCCCGACUACGUAACCGUGCGGACACACUCUUUAAUUCCCUUGUAAACCAACUCGUUCCUCUGAGACUUGAAUACCUUUACGUGUACCAACUUCUCUAGCUCCGGUUUCGGUCCAUCUGAGCAUCACUUAUCUACACCAGGACCAAGGUAAACGGUAUGUGUAACUAAGUUCGUAACCGCGACAACAUAAUAAAGUGCCCUUCAUCGUUAACAAAAGACGAACGGACUUUGGAGUAACCACCAGAGGGUUCACACAUUGUUUCCUCACUUCCGAGGCACAUAGUACUUGAAGGUUCGGAUUUGUACAUAUGCAACCCUUGACGUACUUUGAUAUGGACGUUUGAUCUUCCAGCCAUUUAAGCUAUUCGGCGUGUUGAAGCACGAAAUAACAAGUUGUUGAAGCACGAAAUAACAAGUUUACAAUCCUAUACCGCCAACAAGCAAAAGUUCACCACUAUUGACACCAUGACAGAGGCUACCGAACUAGCUCUCGUAGAAGCCCUGCCACAUGAACUUCGUAACAGAAUUCAAACAGCUGAUUAUGGGUAAGUACCCGAGGUUCUGG
Molecule: ribosomal RNA, 2847 nt
Filed under: Triticum aestivum (bread wheat)
Lineage: Eukaryota; Viridiplantae; Streptophyta; Magnoliopsida; Poales; Poaceae
Description: partial small subunit ribosomal RNA
Source: RNAcentral